Molecule: ribosomal RNA, 4464 nt
Filed under: Triticum aestivum (bread wheat)
Lineage: Eukaryota; Viridiplantae; Streptophyta; Magnoliopsida; Poales; Poaceae
Description: partial small subunit ribosomal RNA
Source: RNAcentral
CUGAACUCAUUCCCAUAGGCAGGUAACAUGAUUAAAAAGUUUCAGGGCAAUAUAUUAGGGGAAAAAAAGAGAGGCCAGAAUUAGAAACGACCCAAAGAAGAGCAAGCAAGAGAAUAAAACUCCAGCCCGCCCAACAACGACACAGCGUCGUAUACGGCAAAAAACAGUACUGGGACGACGCGGGCCUUCUAUUUUUGCGAGUUUUCACAGCUCGCGGCCGACCCAGGUCCACGUUCUGCGCAGGGCACGGGACGGCAGUACCAAAACAAGUGCAACUGUGCGUACUCGCGGAGCAAUGCGGGCACAGUCUGAGGGCCUGAACCAUGCCGGAGAAAAUCAGAAAAGUUAAGACGCACUGCGCCCCUGGGAGAAGAGAGGGAAAAGUAAAGACGCACUGCACUCGCUCGGAAAAUUGGAAAGAUCCUGGACGGACUUGGACUGCUUCCUUUUUGCAUAGAAAGCCAAGUCACUCCACUCAUCCUCUCCCGAGAGUCUGAGACGGACCUCGCCACUGCCAUUGCGCUCCACUUGGACUAGGAACAUCAGCUGGCGUGGUUGGACCUUGGAGCUGGAGGAGAGAGAUGGGGGCGCGGAGGAUGCCAUGCGCAUGCGGCUGGAGACUGCUCUUCUUCCUUGGGCUGCUUGCCGAGGUCCAUGGCUCUUCGUCUCCAGGGGUUGAUGCCCUCCCUCCUACCUCUAGGCUCUUCCCUGCUGAAGGUACGUGUGCUCAGCACCUGCAAAUGCAUUGCUCCAUCUCUGCCAUCGGGCGAUUCCCCUCCCCUCUCCUCCGCGUUCGGCUCGCUGGUUUAGAAAGAGAGAUGACUGUGAUAAGCAGAGCAUGUCUUUUGCUUCCCAGGCUUAAUUUGCCUGCUCUUUUCUCCUCAUCCUUCCCUUUUUUCGUCCCUUUGCUUCUCCCAUUUUGGUCUUCUUUGCUUGGGACUGUUAGAUGAGUUCUGCAAAAAGAACGAAUCACUGCCUCACUUUAGUUCAAGAAUACAUGCAAAAAAAUCUCUAAACAACAGAGGAAGAUCGAGAAUCUUGGAUAUCUUUUCUUCCAAAGGAAUGCAAACCCUGUAGCAACAAGUACUGUAGGCUACUGCUUUGCUGUGUGCUUCCUUCCUCCGCGUACAAGUGGAUGUAAAUGUAAUGGAGAAGAAGGAUGUGCUCAAGCCGUGUUCAUGAUUCUUUUCUUUCCUUUUUGCAAUUCUUGCAGUGCGCACUCUUCGCCGGAUCGCGGUGAAUAUGGGAAUAUCGCAUUGGAACUUCUCCGCCAAUCCGUGUGGCUCCGGCGGCGGCUUGGAGUGUGACUGCUCCUUCGACAACAAUACCAUGUGCCAUGCCACUGAGAUAUUCCUCAGGGGCCAGAACUUCACCGGCCAGCUCCCACCAGAUUUUGCUGAUCUCCCUAAUCUCCUCCAGCUAGACCUAAGCAGGAGCUUGUUCCAUGGCACGGUGCCUGACCGGUGGGCCCGGAUGAAGUUGCAAGGACUGUCACUAAUGGGAAACAGAUUGUCAGGGCCUUUUCCCAUGGCUCUUACGAGAAUCACAACCUUGACUAACCUGAGCAUUGAAGCAAAUGAGUUCCGUGGGCAAAUCCCAGCUGAAAUUGGGCAUCUCACGCAACUGGAGAAGCUGAUAAUAUCAACCAACGAGUUCACUGGACCCCUGCCGGCUGCUCUUUCCUUGCUGACCAAUUUGACCGACUUAAGGAUUUCUGGAAACAAUUUAUCUGGGAGAGUUCCUGAUUUCUUGGCUAAACUGACAAAGCUUGGAAAACUGCAAAUCGAAGGAUCUUUGCUGGAAGGGCCUAUUCCCCCGGGCUUAUCCAAAUUGACAAACCUUUCUGAUCUGAGAAUUAGUGAUCUGAGAGGCAGUGGAUCAGUUUUCCCGGAUCUAAGAGGAAUGCAAUCGAUGAAAGCAUUGGUCCUUAGGAAUUGUUCAAUCAGCGGAGGAAUCCCUUCUUACAUAUGGAGCAUGGAAAAUCUCACGCAUCUGGAUCUGAGCUUUAAUGAACUGACCGGAAAAGUAACAGAUUCGUUCACUAAUAGGGGAACCGUAGAUUACAUAUAUCUAACUGGAAAUUCACUCACUGGGAACAUACCUGAUUGGCUAUUGCGAAGCAACAGCAUUGUGGACCUCUCUUUUAAUAAUUUCACGAUUGGGAGCUCAGGUCGUCCUACUCAAUGUCAAGGGAGCGCCAAUCUAGUGGAGAGUUAUUCACCUGAAAUGAACAGUUUAAAUAAUGUCCAGCCAUGCUUGAAGAAGAACUUCCCAUGUGCUUCGAAUGGACAAUACAGAUCGUCCUUGCAUAUCAAUUGUGGAGACAAAGAAGCAAUUGUCAAUGGCGUAAAAUAUGAAGGUGACACCACACCAAAAGGUGCUUCCAUGUUGUAUGUAAGCCCAGACUCAAACUGGGCAUUCAGCAGCACUGGGAACUUCAUGGACGACAACAUCAAUGAUGACAACUACAUUGCGUCAAGCACAUCAAAACUGACCAUGCCCAACUCCAAGCUGUAUGCAAAAGCGCGCCUUUCUCCUCUUUCGCUCACAUAUUAUGGGCUUUGUAUGCAUAAUGGGAGCUACACAGUUAAACUCCAUUUUGCCGAAAUUAUAUUCACCAAUGACAGCACAUACCGCAGCCUUGGCAAAAGAAAAUUCAAUGUGUUCAUACAGGGAAGAAUGGUGCUAGAGGAUUUUGAUAUUGAGCAAUCUGCUGGUGGGGCUGGAAAGCUAGUCAUCAAGACUUUCACAGCAUAUGUCACAAAUCAUACACUGAAGAUUCAAUUCUAUUGGGCAGGAAGAGGGACAACAGGCAUUCCAUAUAGAGGAUUUUAUGGCCCUCUAAUAUCUGCAAUAUCAGUAACUCCAAACUUCCAGAUUCCUUUGGCUGUUGAACCUCCCCAAACUGGGAGUAGAACGAAAAUUUCAAGGACAUCUAAAGCUUUGCUGAUUGGAGGCCCAAUUAUUGCGAUAUUCACUGCUCUUGUUGUUGGUAUCUGGAUUAAGCGACGACGGAAGAACUUGGUGAAUCAAGAUCUCCGGGCACUUGACCUCCAAAUUGGCUCAUUUACCUUGAGACAAAUCAAAGCAGCAACGAGAAACUUUGAUCCAGCCAACAAGAUUGGCGAAGGUGGUUUUGGUUCGGUUUACAAGGGUUUGUUGUCCGAUGGCACCAUUAUUGCUGUCAAACAGCUAUCAUCAAAGUCCAAGCAAGGGAAUCGUGAAUUUGUGAAUGAGAUUGGCAUGAUAUCUGCACUCCAGCAUCCAAACCUUGUCAGGCUGUAUGGCUGUUGUACAGAAGGAAACCAGCUCUUGCUAGUUUACGAGUACAUGGAAAAUAAUUGCCUUGCACGUGCUCUCUUUGUUGAAGAAUAUAGACUGGCAUUGGAUUGGCCAACGAGACGUAAGAUUUGCCUGGGAAUAGCAAGGGGUCUGGCAUAUCUGCAUGAGGAGUCUGCAAUAAGGAUUGUGCACCGAGAUAUCAAGGCUAGCAAUAUACUGCUUGACAAAGAUUUGGAUGCUAAGAUCUCAGAUUUUGGUCUAGCAAAGCUUAAUGAAGAUGGUCACACCCACAUAAGCACAAAAGUAGCUGGAACAAUUGGAUACAUGGCUCCUGAGUAUGCAAUGCGUGGUUAUUUGACAGACAAAGCUGAUGUUUACAGUUUUGGGGUUGUUGCUUUGGAAAUCGUGAGUGGAAAAAGCAACACAAACUACAGGCCAAAGGAAGAUUUUGUUUAUCUUCUCGAUUGGGCUUGUGUUUUACAUGAGAGAGGAACUCUCCUGGAGCUGGUAGAUCCAGACUUAGGAUCCAAUUACUCAACAGAAGAGGCACUCCUCAUGCUGAAUGUGGCUCUCUUAUGCACCAACGCAGCACCGACACUUAGACCAAAGAUGUCCAACGCGGUGAGCCUGCUCGAGGGCCAUACCCCCCUGCAACCCUUCCUAUCAGAACUCAGCCUUGCUGCAAACAGCCUGAGCUCAAGUGGUCUACGCAGAAACUUCUGGGAAAAUCCAAGUGAGAGCCAGAGCAUAACGGCACAAGUAUCAUGUAACAACACCAGUGACUCGUCAUCUUUAGAUGUUGAUGGUAGCUUGAGACAUUUUGCGACUUAAAUGUUAGAUGUAUUUCAGAUCUGUACACCUGUAAGAACCACUAGGGCUAGGCCACUAUGUCUAUUCUGGCAGUAAAAUGUAGCUACUAACAUAAAAAUGCCUAAUUCUACUAAGAAUGCAAAGUACUCUCUGCUUCAGAACUGCUGGAAGGAUAAGAUUAUUAAGAUUCUGACAAAACACUAUCUCUAAUCUAAACUCGGACGGUCUAAUGUUGCUUUUGCUUCAAAAAGGGUAAACUACAAAAUCACCAUCUACUAUUUCGUUUGAUAUCGCAAAUUAAGUCUAUUGUAUAUAACGAUAUGUUUAUAUAUUACACCCUCUGUUCAUUAGUAUAAGACCUUUUGGCAGUUU